GAUGAACGCUGGCGGCGUGCCUAAUACAUGCAAGUCGAGCGAACGGACGAGAAGCUUGCUUCUCUGAUGUUAGCGGCGGACGGGUGAGUAACACGUGGAUAACCUACCUAUAAGACUGGGAUAACUUCGGGAAACCGUAGCUAAUACCGGAUAAUAUUUUGAACCGCAUGGUUCAAUAGUGAAAGACGGUCUUGCUGUCACUUAUAGAUGGAUCCGCGCUGCAUUAGCUAGUUGGUAAGGUAACGGCUUACCAAGGCAACGAUGCAUAGCCGACCUGAGAGGGUGAUCGGCCACACUGGAACUGAGACACGGUCCAGACUCCUACGGGAGGCAGCAGUAGGGAAUCUUCCGCAAUGGGCGAAAGCCUGACGGAGCAACGCCGCGUGAGUGAUGAAGGUCUUCGGAUCGUAAAACUCUGUUAUUAGGGAAGAACAUAUGUGUAAGUAACUAUGCACAUCUUGACGGUACCUAAUCAGAAAGUCACGGCUAACUACGUG
This 497-nucleotide ribosomal RNA is filed under the name uncultured bacterium. Its description in RNAcentral is "partial 16S ribosomal RNA". It matches the Rfam family "Bacterial small subunit ribosomal RNA", at positions 28 to 507 of the family's 1533-position model. The record is from RNAcentral.